AAGCGGAGGAAAAGAAACCAACAGGGAUUGCCCUAGUAACGGCGAGUGAAGCGGCAACAGCUCAAAUUUGAAAUCUGGCUUCGGCCCGAGUUGUAAUUUGUAGAGGAAACUUUUGGUGAGGCACCUUCUGAGUCCCUUGGAACAGGGCGCCAUAGAGGGUGAGAGCCCCGUAUAGUCGGAUGCCGAUCCAGUGUAAAGUUCCUUCGACGAGUCGAGUAGUUUGGGAAUGCUGCUCAAAAUGGGAGGUAAAUUUCUUCUAAAGCUAAAUAUAGGCCAGAGACCGAUAGCGCACAAGUAGAGUGAUCGAAAGAUGAAAAGCACUUUGAAAAGAGGGUUAAAUAGCACGUGAAAUUGUUGAAAGGGAAGCGUUUGUGACCAGACUUGCGCCGUUCCGAUCAUCCGGUGUUCUCACCGGUGCACUCGGGGCGGCUCAGGCCAGCAUCGGUUUUGGUGGGGGGAUAAAGGUUCAGGGAACGUGGCUCCUCCGGGAGUGUUAUAGCCCUGGGCGUAAUGCCCUCGCCGGGACCGAGGUUCGCGCAUCUGCAAGGAUGCUGGCGUAAUGGUCAUCAACGACCCGUCUUGAAACACGGACCAAGGAGUCAAGGUUUUGCGCGAGUGUUUGGGUGUAAAACCCGCACGCGUAAUGAAAGUGAACGUAGGUGAGAGCUUCGGCGCAUCAUCGACCGAUCCUGAUGUAUUCGGAUGGAUUUGAGUAAGAGCGUUAAGCCUUGGACCCGAAAGAUGGUGAACUAUGCUUGGAUAGGGUGAAGCCAGAGGAAACUCUGGUGGAGGCUCGCAGCGGUUCUGACGUGCAAAUCGAUCGUCAAAUCUGAGCAUGGGGGCGAAAGACUAAUCGAACCAUCUAGUAGCUGGUUACCGCCGAAGUUUCCCUCAGGAUAGCAGUGUUGUUCUUCAGUUUUAUGAGGUAAAGCGAAUGAUUAGGGACUCGGGGGCGCUUUUUAGCCUUCAUCCAUUCUCAAACUUUAAAUAUGUAAGAAGCUCUUGUUACUUAAUUGAACGUGAGCAUUCGAAUGUACCAACACUAGUGGGCCAUUUUUGGUAAGCAGAACUGGCG
Molecule: ribosomal RNA, 1075 nt
Filed under: Copromyces sp. CBS 386.78
Lineage: Eukaryota; Fungi; Ascomycota; Sordariomycetes; Sordariales; Sordariaceae
Also listed under: 1 other name
Description: eukaryotic LSU rRNA
Rfam family: Eukaryotic large subunit ribosomal RNA
Source: RNAcentral